UGGUGCACAUAGCACAGUGGAACCACACCGAUCCAUCUCGAACUCGGUUGUUAAAUGCUGUAGCGGCGAUAAUACUUAAGGGGGAGCCCUUUGGGAAAGUAGCUCAGUGCCAAAGCU
Molecule: ribosomal RNA, 117 nt
Filed under: Pyropia pulchra
Lineage: Eukaryota; Rhodophyta; Bangiophyceae; Bangiales; Bangiaceae
Source: RNAcentral